Molecule: ribosomal RNA, 301 nt
Filed under: uncultured bacterium
Lineage: Bacteria
Description: partial 16S ribosomal RNA
Rfam family: Bacterial small subunit ribosomal RNA
Source: RNAcentral
CAGUAGCCACGGGAAUACGUAGGUGGCAAGCGUUGUCCGGAAUUAUUGGGCGUAAAGGGCUCGCAGGCGGUUUCUUAAGUCUGAUGUGAAAGCCCCCGGCUCAACCGGGGAGGGUCAUUGGAAACUGGGAAACUUGAGUGCAGAAGAGGAGAGUGGAAUUCCACGUGUAGCGGUGAAAUGCGUAGAGAUGUGGAGGAACACCAGUGGCGAAGGCGACUCUCUGGUCUGUAACUGACGCUGAGGAGCGAAAGCGUGGGGAGCGAACAGGAUUAGAUACCCCGGUAGUCCCUGUCUCUUAUAC